GACGAACGCUGGCGGCGUGCCUAAUACAUGCAAGUAGGACGCAGUUGCGAACGGGUGAGUAACGCGUAGGUAACUACCUAUUAGAGGGGGAUAACUAUUGGAAACGAUAGCUAAUACCGCAUACUAGUAGAUGGACCUGCGUUGUAUUAGCUAGUAGGUUGGGUAAUGGGCUACCUAGGCAACGAUACAUAGCCGACGUGAGAGGGUGUGUCGGCAAAAUGGGAAUGGGGACCGGGCCAGACUUCUUCGGGGGGCAGCAAGAGGGAAUCCUCGGCAAAGGGGGGAAAGCUUACCGAGGAACGCCGGGUGAGUGAAGAAGGUUUUCGGGUCGUAAAGCUCUGUUGUUAAGGGAGCGGUACUUAACCAGAAAGCGACGGCUAACUACGUGCCAGCAGCCGCGGUAAUAC
This 407-nucleotide ribosomal RNA is filed under the name uncultured bacterium. RNAcentral describes it as "partial 16S ribosomal RNA". It matches the Rfam family "Bacterial small subunit ribosomal RNA", at positions 28 to 526 of the family's 1533-position model. The record is from RNAcentral.